Molecule: long non-coding RNA, 385 nt
Filed under: Elaeis guineensis (African oil palm)
Lineage: Eukaryota; Viridiplantae; Streptophyta; Magnoliopsida; Arecales; Arecaceae
Description: long non-coding RNA (EGUI_LNC005154)
Source: RNAcentral
UUUGGAUAAUAAGAGAGUAAGUUUGUUGAAUGCCCGUUAUAUGGCGCUGUUUGUUAACGGGUAUAUUUGCUGAUUUGAAGCCCGUGUGCACUCCGUCGAGUGAAGUGGCUUGAUAGCUUGGAGGGUGAUCCCUCUUUCCUGGCACCCACAGUCCCGCUCCAGCCACCGGCUCCGGAUCCGGCUCGAACGUGGUCCAGUCACAGCCCUGUACUUCUAUCCUCCUCCUGCUGCAGUGCUGGUGGUGGCGCGGUCCCCUCUCUCUUUCUCCCGUCUCGGUCCACCGCCGGGCCCCGGGUAAUUAAUUAUUCCGACCCAAAUUUACACCCAGCCUAUGCUGCGUUCAAGGGCAUAUUCGUAAUUACGCGGCACUCAGACGGGCCAGCUG